This is a long non-coding RNA of Nanorana parkeri, 205 nucleotides long. RefSeq lists it as uncharacterized. The transcript has 3 exons. The record is from RefSeq and is a predicted model, not a curated record. NCBI's taxonomy places the organism in Eukaryota, Metazoa, Chordata, Amphibia, Anura, Dicroglossidae.
AGGUGGCUGGAAACUUCCAUUUUGCUCCUGGUAAAAGCUUCCAGCAGUCUCACGUCCACGUCCACGACUUACAGAGCUUUGGACUCGACAAUAUCAAUAUGACCCAUCAUAUCAAACAUUUGUCAUUUGGGAGAGAUUACCCAGGUUUAGUGAAUCCUCUUGAUGGAACAAGUGUGGAUGCCAUGCAAUGUAAGUACAUGCUACA